UGGGGAAUAUUGGACAAUGGGCGAAAGCCUGAUCCAGCCAUGCCGCGUGUGUGAAGAAGGUCUUCGGAUUGUAAAGCACUUUAAGUUGGGAGGAAGGGCAGUAAGUUAAUACCUUGCUGCUUUGACGUUACCGACAGAAUAAGCACCGGCUAACUCUGUGCCAGCAGCCGCGGUAAUACAGAGGGUGCAAGCGUUAAUCGGAAUUACUGGGCGUAAAGCGCGCGUAGGGGGUUUGUUAAGUUGGAUGUGAAAGCCCCGGGCUCAACCUGGGAACUGCAUCCAAAACUGGCAAGCUAGAGUACGGUAGAGGGUGGUGGAAUUUCCUGUGUAGCGGUGAAAUGCGUAGAUAUAGGAAGGAACACCAGUGGCGAAGGCGACCACCUGGACUGAUACUGACACUGAGGUGCGAAAGCGUGGGGAGCAAACA
RNAcentral lists this ribosomal RNA (427 nucleotides) under uncultured bacterium. RNAcentral describes it as "partial 16S ribosomal RNA". It matches the Rfam family "Bacterial small subunit ribosomal RNA", at positions 355 to 774 of the family's 1533-position model. The record is from RNAcentral.